AGCAUAUGCGGAGGCCUACCAUGCAAGUUCGAGCGGAAACGAUCCUAGCUUGCUAGGAGGCGUCGAGCGGCGGACGGGUGAGUAAUGCAUAGGAAUCUGCCCGGUAGUGGGGGAUAACCUGAGGAAACUCAGGCUAAUACCGCAUACGUCCUACGGGAGAAAGCAGGGGCUCUUCGGACCUUGCGCUAUCGGAUGAGCUUAUGUCGGAUUAGCUGGUUGGUGAGGUAACGGCUCACCAAGGCGACGAUCCGUAGCUGGUCUGAGAGGAUGAUCAGCCACAUCGGGACUGAGACACGGCCCGAACUCCUACGGGAGGCAGCAGUGGGGAAUAUUGGACAAUGGGGGCAACCCUGAUCCAGCCAUGCCGCGUGUGUGAAGAAGGCCCUCGGGUUGUAAAGCACUUUCAGUGAGGAAGAAGGCUUGUCGGUUAAUACCCGGCAAGAAAGACAUCACUCACAGAAGAAGCACCGGCUAACUCCGUGCCAGCAGCCGCGGUAAUACGGAGGGUGCGAGCGUUAAUCGGAAUUACUGGGCGUAAAGCGUGCGUAGGCGGCUUGAUAAGCCGGUUGUGAAAGCCCCGGGCUCAACCUGGGAACGGCAUCCGGAACUGUCAGGCUAGAGUGCAGGAGAGGAAGGUAGAAUUCCCGGUGUAGCGGUGAAAUGCGUAGAGAUCGGGAGGAAUACCAGUGGCGAAAGGCGGCCUUCUGGACUGACACUGACGCUGAGGUACGAAAGCGUGGGUAGCAAACAGGAUUAGAUACCCUGGUAGUCCACGCCGUAAACGAUGUCGACUAGCCGUUGGGGUCCUCGAGACCUUUGUGGCGCAGUUAACGCACUAAGUCGACCGCCUGGGGAGUACGGCCGCAAGGUUAAAACUCAAAUGAAUUGACGGGGGCCCGCACAAGCGGUGGAGCAUGUGGUUUAAUUCGAUGCAACGCGAAGAACCUUACCUACCCUUGACAUCGUGCGAACUUGGUAGAGAUACCUUGGUGCCUUCGGGAACGCACAGACAGGUGCUGCAUGGCUGUCGUCAGCUCGUGUUGUGAAAUGUUGGGUUAAGUCCCGUAACGAGCGCAACCCUUGUCCCUAUUUGCCAGCGAUUCGGUCGGGAACUCUAGGGAGACUGCCGGUGACAAACCGGAGGAAGGUGGGGACGACGUCAAGUCAUCAUGGCCCUUACGGGUAGGGCUACACACGUGCUACAAUGGCCGGUACAAUGGGUUGCAAAGCGGCGACGUGGAGCUAAUCCCAUAAAGCCGGUCUCAGUCCGGAUCGGAGUCUGCAACUCGACUCCGUGAAGUCGGAAUCGCUAGUAAUCGUGCAUCAGAAUGGCACGGUGAAUACGUUCCCGGGCCUUGUACACACCGCCCGUCACACCAUGGGAGUGGACUGCACCAGAAAGUGGUUAGCCUAACUCGGAGGGGCGUCACCCCCGCGGGUGUGAUAU
Molecule: ribosomal RNA, 1447 nt
Filed under: Halomonas sp. SK48
Lineage: Bacteria; Pseudomonadati; Pseudomonadota; Gammaproteobacteria; Oceanospirillales; Halomonadaceae
Description: bacterial SSU rRNA
Rfam family: Bacterial small subunit ribosomal RNA
Source: RNAcentral